This 331-nucleotide ribosomal RNA is filed under the name uncultured eukaryote. Its description in RNAcentral is "partial 18S ribosomal RNA". It matches the Rfam family "Eukaryotic small subunit ribosomal RNA", at positions 1470 to 1796 of the family's 1831-position model. The record is from RNAcentral.
CCCUUAGAUGUCCUGGGCUGCACGCGCGCUACACUGUUCGACGCAGCGAGUCUUAACCUUGACCGAAAGGUUUGGGUAAUCUUCAGCAAAGUCGAACGUGAUGGGGAUCGAUCAUUGCAAUUAUUGAUCGUGAACGAGGAAUUCCUAGUAAGUGCAAGUCAUCAGCUUGCGCUGAUUACGUCCCUGCCCUUUGUACACACCGCCCGUCGCUACUACCGAUUGAAUGGUUUAGUGAGAUCUCUGGAUUGACGCUGGCUAGGGGGCGACCCUUGGCCAGACUGUUGAGAAACUGCUCAAACUUGAUCAUUUAGAGGAAGUAAAAGUCGUAACA